UCCGCGCCGCCCCACCGCCGCCCUCACCAUGUUCUUGCCCACGCCGCCCUGCUCCCCGGCCGCCCCCGCUCCUCCGUGACACCCUGCUCCCAGCGCUGCCGCCUUCUCCUCUGCGCCGCCCUGCUCCCAGCGUCGCCGCCUGUUACUCUGCGCCUCCCUGCGCCCUGCGUCGCCGCCUACUCCUCCGCGCCGCCCUGCUCCCAGCGUCGCCGCCUGCUCCUCCGUGCCGUGCCCCCCGUCGUCGUCGCCGCCCCUCCCCGUACGCUAGCCCGAGCUGGCCCUCCCAUCGGCUCCGCCGCCCCUCCCAUCAGCGCCGCCGCCCCUCCCCAUCCGCUAGCCCGAGCCGACCCCUAACUGCUCCGCCGCGCCACCUUUCAUCCACCGGGAGGUCCGUCUGCUCCGGCGGCAAGGUGCUCCUCGUCUGCAACUUCAGUAUAUCCGAGGAGGAUGUGGAUUUGGUCCAGUUUGCAAUAUGUUCGUCUAGUUCUGAACUUUUGAUUGUGGUUGUAACCGUGGUCUUUAUUGUUGAUGAAUUGGUCAUACUGUGAUGGGCCCUUCUUUUGCUCUCCAUGCAAGCUACAGGGUUUGGUUUUGAUAACUUAAGCAAUCUGGUCAUGUGCUUGCUAAUGAGCUUGUUAGGCUGCCUGCUCUUUCUUGUUGUUGCCUAAUAAGUGAAGAGGAGCACAAAUGUUCCAACUUGUACUAGUCUUCUUCCUGGGUGAAAAAGGAAAAGACACUGAUGGCUUGUUCAACUCUGUUUGACUGGAAUAGGUGCAUAAAAGUUGCAUUCUCAAACCAAUUAGUACUAACUGUUGGAAAAAAUAAUCUUUAUCACCUCUCAAGCUGAAUUUUUUCAUAUAGAUGUGUGUUUGUGGAACUUCAUAUGCCUGUCCAUGUAAGUGUAGUGCAUUAAUUUGUGCAGUGUUUGAGUGCACAACCAUGUCAGAUACCAGCACCUGAUCUGACAUGUUUCAUUUGCUCGACUUUGAAUGUUUUUAGUAAAAACGAGUUCUCAAUCUUACAUGGUUAUGGUGCUUUGCUUACUUUGGUUUGAUGCUAGAUUUGGCAUUAUGUUUUGGGCUGCUGGUUAGUCUGACAGCUGGCCAACAUUUUGGUUGUUGUUUAGCUAAUAAUCAUUAUAUGGUCUUGUUUUCUCAUACCAAGUAGUACUAACUCUUCUUGAACAAAAAUCUUUGUCACCUCUGAAGGUGAUAUUUUUUUAUAUGAUGUGCGCUUGUGGAACUUCAGGUGCUUAUCCAUGUUAGUCCAGUGCAUUAAUAAGUGUACUGUUUUGAGUCCAUGACCAUCUCAUCUAGCGGUACUGGAUAAACUUUGAAUGUUCUUGGUAAAAAUGAAUCCGUGGUCUUACAGGAAUACGUUGAUUUGCUUAUUUCGGUUGGAUGCUAGACUUGGUGUUGUGUUUUGGACUGCUGGUUAGUUUGACUGUUGGCCAGCGUUUUCGUCGGUGUUCAUAAAUUUUAUCAUUGUUCAUAAAUUAAAUAUCUCACAGAUGCUGAAAUUGUCAUUUUGUUUGUCUACAGGACAUUGCAUCAUGGGUGUGUGGCUACAUGGAUCUGUCCUUCGGCCAUCUGGUAGCCCUGUUUGUCAUCACCCCACGACGCCGUUGGUGCCUUCUCAAGUUGCUUGACUGCUGCAUGAACCAAAUUGAGCAGUACAAUGGCGAUUUUGCCGAAGUUCGUCACAGUAUGAUUUAGCCUCUUAGGGUUCGCCAUUCUACAUUGAAGGGAAAAGGGCACCACUCUACCUUGAAGUUGAUAGAGACGGGCUCAAGGACAAUCGGUCGUACGGUGGUCAUUGCAUUGUGGUGCUGACGAUGACGGCCAAGCUCUUAUCAUUGCCCAAAGGAUGAAUUUUGUGGGACCUCACCAUCUGUUUCCUUGGUUCAGCUUGAAGUGUCCUCAGUCAGGAGAAGGCUCCAAUAACUUUAUGGUUGGUGGAUCUACACCUGCCCAAGCAAGCCCAGUGACACGCACUGCGGCUCAAGAUGCUUCGACCUGCACGCCACAAUGAUCACUCGAGGUUUGCAUUACGAAUGCCGUCGACGGUGGGCAUACAUGCUGCGGUGGACACUCAUUGCAUAUUGUAGGUUGAACUCAUGCUUUCGUUUCUGAACUCUUGUUGCAUAUGUAAUGUUGUUGUGAACCCUCCUUGAAUAUGUAUGCAUGCUUUUGUGAAACUAUAUUGGAUAUGUAUGAGUGUGUGGACUUUGAACUCAUCAUCGGUUUGUUCUUGUUGUGAACUUGUAAUAUAUUGGAUAUGUAUGCAUGACCGUUUCGGUUGUGAAAUCUUGUUGCAUAUGUACGCAUGCUUUUGUGAAA
Hordeum vulgare subsp. vulgare (domesticated barley) is the source of this 2339-nucleotide long non-coding RNA. RefSeq lists it as uncharacterized. NCBI's taxonomy places the organism in Eukaryota, Viridiplantae, Streptophyta, Magnoliopsida, Poales, Poaceae. The transcript has 5 exons. The record is from RefSeq and is a predicted model, not a curated record.